CCAAUUUGCUCAUUUAGAAGAUAUUGCAAUUCAUAGUAUUUUACAACACAAAUAUACGUUAUUUUUCAUAUCUCAUAAUUAAAAGCAAUUUGAUUCAUAUUCAUAGACAUUCAUUAAAGGUCAAAGUAUCUAUAUAUAUAUUCAAAAAGUGACUGAAUACAUAGGUGUUUCAAUAUAUCUUAGAGUACAAAAUUCAUGUAUAGAAACUAUCCAAGAGUCAAUCAGUCAACACAUUACAUAGCCCACAAGAUAGAUCCUAGACAAAAAUAAAAGAAAGGACAAACUACACUGGAUCUAAUAGAUGUCAUGGCUGGAA
Molecule: long non-coding RNA, 316 nt
Filed under: Elaeis guineensis (African oil palm)
Lineage: Eukaryota; Viridiplantae; Streptophyta; Magnoliopsida; Arecales; Arecaceae
Description: long non-coding RNA (EGUI_LNC044728)
Source: RNAcentral